UUUGUGAGAAAUCGACCCGCGGUCUUUCUUCUAUCUUAUCCAGACGUUCCUUUCCAGCGCGGCGGGGCGGCGCCCUUCACCGCGGCGACAGCUCCAGGUGGGCUCGCGGGAGACGGCGCUGGGCUUGGGAGAUGCGGCUGCGAGGGCUCCGCAUCAGGCAGCGACAGCGAGGCGGGGAUGCGGCGCUGCGCUUCCGGGAUGCAGCGGCGAGGCGUCGAGGCAGCGCUGCGCUCGGGCGCCACAUCAGGCGGCAGCAGCGAGGCGGGAGGCGCACACGGAGAUGAAGGAGGGGAAAAUGGAGAGUCGGCCGGGGCGAGGAGUUCGCCGACGUCGAAGCCACGGACCCCGGCGCUGCAAGCUUGCAGGGGGCGGUGGCCAUGGCCGGGAGGCGGCGCUGAGUUCGGGCGCCGCAUGCCUCCUCUGUCGCUCCUUGUUUCUUUAUUCCCCAACUCCUCUCUUGCACGUCGUCAUCUUGCCGCCCACGCAGCAAAGAGAUCGAGGAAGAGGCGAGAGUCGGGUCAAUAGAUAUGUCGCACGAGGGUGCGGCACUCCCUGUUCCAUCUAGAUCAACAAACGCAGAGGGAGGUGGAAGAAGAGCCACGACCUGCGAGCAGGAGGCUGCCGCCUAGCACGCAUCUGACUGCGGCUAUUUUAUCCAUGAGCGGGAGGUUAAGAGAAGCACAUCUCUGAAAUUCACAGUUUUGAACCCAAAGAGACGCAUCUAGACAAUGGUUGCAUCAGUGGUUCCAGUGUCAUAUACGCCAACAUGGUGGCCAAUCUUAUUGAGAAGAAUGACACAACAGCAGGCAGUGGAUCAGAGCCCAAACUCUCACUUGUUAGGAUAAAGGUGGACUACUCUGUGUUCUUAACAAUACACCCCCAACGGUUUGGUCAAAAGUAUGUUGAGAAGGUUGCCAAUCCACAAGUCAUUGUUGUUUUCUGAAGAUCAGCAAAAUGGCGCCAAAAUAUGCACGACAAUGCUUGAGGUUCCGGAGAACUCUACCCAAAUGAGCUUAAUCAACACACUGUCGAAGCUCUGGUUCCGGAAAGUAACUUGAAUAUGCAGGUUCUUCCACUGGACAACCUGGACACUGCCAUUCAUGUUUUCGUCAACAAGGCAGACAAUAUGGCAUUUCACUCUUGCCUGCAGAAGAACACCGAAGAGGCAAUAAACGAGUUGACCAUCACCAAGGUAGAUACUGCCGUCGAAGAUGAAGAUGCAAUGGUGUCAUUGUGACAGGUGAAGAAAAAGUAUGUCUUAUGUUUACUUGAUUCCGUAGAUUAAUAUCUCUUUUGGUUGGCAAGAAUGACCUGGACACUGCCCUUCAUGUUUUCGUCAACAAGGCAGACAAUAUGGCAUUUCACUCUUGCCUGAAGAAGAACACCGAAGAGGCAAUAGUAGGCAAAACUACCAAUAUAUUAGACUCCACUCUACCGAUUGAGAACUGAAAAGAAAUUUCUCCACCUGAAUUCAAAGAACAAGUUGACCAUCACCAAGGUAGAUACUGCUGUCGAAGAUGAAGAUGCAAUGGUGUCAUUGUGACAGAAAUCCUCACCUUGAAGAAUGAAGCCAAUGGUGAACAAGGAUGUUCUUUCUACCAAAGAACCAGGCCAUGCCGAGGUAGUGGUGUGGUUCGGAUGAUGGUGGUGAGGCUAAAAUAUGGGAGAUGACUUGGAGUUAUUUUAAGCAUGAGUUGUGUACUGGUGUGGUUCCUUAAGUCACCCCUUUCAGGUCAAACCCCUCUAUGUUAUCGAUCACCUUUUUCAUUUUGUGUUCAGUGAUGUGGAAUUUAGUACACUAUUUUUUGCCACUAAUGACCAAUCUAUAAAAUAAAGCAAACUACAGUGUCAGCUACAAGGUACUAUAUGCAGUCUGGUUUAUCGAUCAUUCGACUACUUCACAAGGGAAAAGUGCUAACUGCCAACUGACAAGAUCAAUAGUAGAAUAAAGGGAUGGAAGGAAAAAUAAGUGUCUCCAAUUUCCUUGGUGGUGUGUGCAAACUUUGAAGGCUGUAUUGUGAUGAAUAAUGGAGCGUGUUCCACUUACCCUUGUUCGACCCAUUCCAAUCUUGGUGGGCAAGUACUUGCGAUGACGGCUAUCCGCACAGACAAGCCAAGGCAUCCCUCACCAUGCUUGUUUCAUGGACAAUUUGGAAUGAGCGAAACGCACGAGUUUUCAGGCAUAAGUGUGCCCCUCCGACGGUGCUGUUUUCCUCCAUCGCCAUCGAGGCUAACCUUUGGAUCAUCGCCGGUGCUAAAAAAUUAGGGUCUUUGUUAUUGCACAAGUAAUCCGCAUGCCAUGUACUCGAGUUGUUUAUAACUAAU
Long non-coding RNA from Triticum aestivum (bread wheat), 2325 nucleotides. RefSeq lists it as uncharacterized. The transcript is spliced from 9 exons. NCBI's taxonomy places the organism in Eukaryota, Viridiplantae, Streptophyta, Magnoliopsida, Poales, Poaceae. The record is from RefSeq and is a predicted model, not a curated record.